Long non-coding RNA from Carassius carassius (crucian carp), 270 nucleotides. RefSeq lists it as uncharacterized. The transcript is spliced from 2 exons. The record is from RefSeq and is a predicted model, not a curated record. NCBI's taxonomy places the organism in Eukaryota, Metazoa, Chordata, Actinopteri, Cypriniformes, Cyprinidae.
UGUUAAACUCUUACCACAUUCUGAUGUCUGCGUGCUGCUGGUCACUGCAGAGGUCAAACUAGAGGUCACACUAGAGGUCACACUAGAGGUCACACUAGAGGUCACUCUAGAGGUCACAUCUGCAGUAGUUGAUUCUGAAAUAAAACAUCAGCACAUCGUAGAAUGUACAAAUAUGUUGUAUUCACCCCUUCAAUGUCAAACUGGAAUAGGAGGAGAGCAUUUGGCAUCUAUCUCAAAAUAACUGCUUUCAGCAGAUAAAUCUUUAUUUAU